GCCUAAUACAUGCAAGUCGAGGGGUAGAGAAGGCUUGCUUUCUUGAGACCGGCGCACGGGUGCGUAACGCGUAUGCAACCUACCUUUAUCUGGGGGAUAGCCCGGAGAAAUCCGGAUUAAUACCGCAUAAAAUCACAGAAUAGCAUUAUUUAAUGAUCAAACAUUUAUGGGAUGAAGAUGGGCAUGCGUGUCAUUAGCUAGUUGGCGGGGUAACGGCCCACCAAGGCGACGAUGACUAGGGGAUCUGAGAGGAUGGCCCCCCACACUGGUACUGAGACACGGACCAGACUCCUACGGGAGGCAGCAGUAAGGAAUAUUGGUCAAUGGAGGCAACUCUGAACCAGCCAUGCCGCGUGCAGGAUGACUGCCCUAUGGGUUGUAAACUGCUUUUAUCCGGGAAUAAACCUACUUACGUGUAAGUAGCUGAACGUACCGGAGGAAUAAGGAUCGGCUAACUCCGUGCCAGCAGCCGCGGUAAUACGGAGGAUCCAAGCGUUAUCCGGAUUUAUUGGGUUUAAAGGGUGCGUAGGCGGCCUGUUAAGUCAGGGGUGAAAGACGGUAGCUCAACUAUCGCAGUGCCCUUGAUACUGAUGGGCUUGAAUGGACUAGAGGUAGGCGGAAUGAGACAAGUAGCGGUGAAAUGCAUAGAUAUGUCUCAGAACACCGAUUGCGAAGGCAGCUUACUAUGGUCUUAUUGACGCUGAGGCACGAAAGCGUGGGGAUCAAACAGGAUUAGAUACCCUGGUAGUCCACGCCCUAAACGAUGAACACUCGCUGUUGGCGAUACACAGUCAGCGGCUAAGCGAAAGCGUUAAGUGUUCCACCUGGGGAGUACGCCCGCAAGGGUGAAACUCAAAGGAAUUGACGGGGGCCCGCACAAGCGGAGGAGCAUGUGGUUUAAUUCGAUGAUACGCGAGGAACCUUACCCGGGCUUGAAAGUUAGUGAAUUAUCUAGAGAUAGAUAAGUGAGCAAUCACACGAAACUAGGUGCUGCAUGGCUGUCGUCAGCUCGUGCCGUGAGGUGUUGGGUUAAGUCCCGCAACGAGCGCAACCCCUAUGUUUAGUUGCCAGCACGUUAUGGUGGGGACUCUAAACAGACUGCCUGUGCAAACAGAGAGGAAGGAGGGGACGACGUCAAGUCAUCAUGGCCCUUACGUCCGGGGCUACACACGUGCUACAAUGGAUGGUACAGAGGGCAGCUACAUAGCAAUAUGAUGCGAAUCUCACAAAGCCAUUCACAGUUCGGAUUGGGGUCUGCAACUCGACCCCAUGAAGUUGGAUUCGCUAGUAAUCGCGUAUCAGCAAUGACGCGGUGAAUACGUUCCCGGGCCUUGUACACACCGCCCGUCAAGCCAUGGAAGUUGGGGGUACCUAAAGUAUGUAACCGCAAGGAGCGUCCUAGGGUAAAACCGA
Molecule: ribosomal RNA, 1413 nt
Filed under: Pedobacter sp. AaMG20
Lineage: Bacteria; Pseudomonadati; Bacteroidota; Sphingobacteriia; Sphingobacteriales; Sphingobacteriaceae
Description: bacterial SSU rRNA
Rfam family: Bacterial small subunit ribosomal RNA
Source: RNAcentral